UACGUAGGGUGCAAGCGUUAAUCGGAAUUACUGGGCGUAAAGCGUGCGCAGGCGGUUUUGUAAGUCUGUCGUGAAAUCCCCGGGCUCAACCUGGGAAUUGCGAUGGAGACUGCAAGGCUAGAAUCUGGCAGAGGGGGGUAGAAUUCCACGUGUAGCAGUGAAAUGCGUAGAGAUGUGGAGGAACACCGAUGGCGAAGGCAGCCCCCUGGGUCAAGAUUGACGCUCAUGCACGAAAGCGUGGGGAGCAACCAGG
RNAcentral lists this ribosomal RNA (253 nucleotides) under uncultured bacterium. RNAcentral's name for it is "partial 16S ribosomal RNA". It matches the Rfam family "Bacterial small subunit ribosomal RNA", at positions 524 to 776 of the family's 1533-position model. The record is from RNAcentral.